UUGGGAAUCUUGGACAAUGGGGGAAACCCUGAUCCAGCCAUGCCGCGUGAGUGAUGAAGGCCUUAGGGUUGUAAAGCUCUUUCGCACGCGACGAUAAUGACGGUAGCGUGAGAAGAAGCCCCGGCUAACUUCGUGCCAGCAGCCGCGGUAAUACGAAGGGGGCUAGCGUUGUUCGGAAUUACUGGGCGUAAAGCGCGCGCAGGCGGGUCAUCAAGUCAGAGGUGAAAGCCCGGAGCUUAACUCCGGAAUAGCCUUUGAAACUGUUGAUCUUGAGUACGGGAGAGGUCAGUGGAAUUCCUAGUGUAGAGGUGAAAUUCGUAGAUAUUGGGAAGAACACCAGUGGCGAAGGCGGCUCACUGGCCCGUUACUGACGCUCAGGCGCGAUAGCGUGGGGAUCAAACA
Molecule: ribosomal RNA, 402 nt
Filed under: uncultured bacterium
Lineage: Bacteria
Description: bacterial SSU rRNA
Rfam family: Bacterial small subunit ribosomal RNA
Source: RNAcentral